Malus domestica (apple) is the source of this 191-nucleotide small nuclear RNA. RefSeq annotates it as U2 spliceosomal RNA. The record is from RefSeq and is a predicted model, not a curated record. NCBI's taxonomy places the organism in Eukaryota, Viridiplantae, Streptophyta, Magnoliopsida, Rosales, Rosaceae.
AUUUUUCAGCAUUUUGGUUAAGAUCAAACGUAGUAUCAGUUCUUAUUAGUUUAAUAUAAGAAUGUAGACCAAUAUUUCACACAAUUUAAAUUAAAUUUUUUAAGAAGAGGGCUCACUUACAAUAGUUUGCUAUUAACACUAUCGCGUGUAACUUAAGCGUUGAACUACUGCUCCUGUCCCACGAACCCACC